RNAcentral lists this ribosomal RNA (253 nucleotides) under uncultured bacterium. RNAcentral describes it as "partial 16S ribosomal RNA". It matches the Rfam family "Bacterial small subunit ribosomal RNA", at positions 524 to 776 of the family's 1533-position model. The record is from RNAcentral.
UACGAAGGGGGCUAGCGUUGCUCGGAAUGACUGGGCGUAAAGGGCGCGUAGGCGGAUGGCACAGUCAGAUGUGAAAUUCCCGGGCUUAACCUGGGGGCUGCAUUUGAUACGUGUGAUCUAGAGUGAGGAAGAGGGUCGUGGAAUUCCCAGUGUAGAGGUGAAAUUCGUAGAUAUUGGGAAGAACACCGGUGGCGAAGGCGGCGACCUGGUCCUUGACUGACGCUGGGGCGCGAAAGCGUGGGGAGCAAACAGG